GAUCCUGGCUCAGAUUGAACGCUGGCGGCAGGCCUAACACAUGCAAGUCGAACGGUAACAGAAAGCAGCUUGCUGCUUUGCUGACGAGUGGCGGACGGGUGAGUAAUGUCUGGGAAACUGCCCGGUGGAGGGGGAUAACUACUGGAAACGGUAGCUAAUACCGCAUAACGUCGCAAGACCAAAGAGGGGGACCUUAGGGCCUCUUGCCAUCGGAUGUGCCCAGAUGGGAUUAGCUAGUAGGUGGGGUAAAGG
Molecule: ribosomal RNA, 252 nt
Filed under: uncultured bacterium
Lineage: Bacteria
Description: partial 16S ribosomal RNA
Rfam family: Bacterial small subunit ribosomal RNA
Source: RNAcentral